This 1421-nucleotide ribosomal RNA is filed under the name metagenome. RNAcentral describes it as "bacterial LSU rRNA". It matches the Rfam family "Bacterial large subunit ribosomal RNA", at positions 1363 to 2912 of the family's 2925-position model. The record is from RNAcentral.
CCUUAAUCUGAGCAGGGUAAGCCGGCCCCUAAGGCGAGGCCGAAAGGCGUAGUCGAUGGGAACCAGGUUAAUAUUCCUGGGCCAGGAGGAAGUGACGGAUCUGAAACGUUGUCUGCCCUUAUCGGAUUGGGUGGGCCGCCAACAGGUCCCUGGAAAUAGCCCUCCAUCAGACCGUACCCUAAACCGACACAGGUGGACUGGUAGAGAAUACCAAGGCGCUUGAGAGAACCACAUCAAAGGAACUCGGCAAAAUACCUCCGUAAGUUCGCGAGAAGAAGGCCCCGUUGGCAGGCAACUGUCGGCGGGGGGCACAAACUAGGGGGUGGCGACUGUUUACUAAAAACACAGGGCUGUGCGAAGCCGCAAGGCGACGUAUACAGUCUGACGCCUGCCCGGUGCUGGAAGGUUAAAAGGAGGGGUGCAAGCUCCGAAUUGAAGCCCCAGUAAACGGCGGCCGUAACUAUAACGGUCCUAAGGUAGCGAAAUUCCUUGUCGGGUAAGUUCCGACCUGCACGAAUGGCGUAACGACUUCCCCGCUGUCUCUGAUGUGGACUCAGCGAAAUUGAACUGUCUGUCAAGAUGCAGACUUCCCGCGGUUAGACGGAAAGACCCCAUGCACCUUUACUCCAGCUUUGCACUGGCAUCAGGAUUGUGAUGUGCAGGAUAGGUGGUAGGCUUUGAAACGGGGACGCCAGUUCUCGUGGAGCCUCCCUUGAGAUACCACCCUUCGCACUCUUGAUGUCUAACCGCGGUCCGUCAUCCGGAUCCGGGACCCUGCAUGGUGGGGAGUUUGACUGGGGCGGUCGCCUCCCAAAGUGUAACGGAGGCGCGCGAAGGUAGGCUCAGACCGGUCGGAAAUCGGUCGUUGAGUGCAAUGGCAGAAGCCUGCCUGACUGCAAGACUGACAAGUCGAGCAGAGACGAAAGUUGGUCAUAGUGAUCCGGUGGUCCCAAGUGGGAGGGCCAUCGCUCAACGGAUAAAAGGUACGCUGGGGAUAACAGGCUGUUGAUGCCCAAGAGUCCAUAUCGACGGCAUCGUUUGGCACCUCGAUGUCGGCUCAUCUCAUCCUGGGGCUGGAGCAGGUCCCAAGGGUAUGGCUGUUCGCCAUUUAAAGAGGUACGUGAGCUGGGUUUAGAACGUCGUGAGACAGUUCGGUCCCUAUCUGCCGUGGGUGUAGGAGACUUGAGAAGAGUUGCCCCUAGUACGAGAGGACCGGGGUGAACGGACCACUGGUGGAUCAGUUGUCGUGCCAACGGCAGUGCUGAGUAGCUAUGUUCGGACAGGAUAACCGCUGAAGGCAUCUAAGCGGGAAGCCCCCUUCAAAACAAGGUCUCCCUUGAGAGCCGUAGAAGACCACUACGUCGAUAGGCCGGAGGUGUAAGUGCAGCAAUGCAUUCAGCUGACCGGUACUAAUUGCUCAA